GGUUCUAUGGUGUAAUGGUUAGCACUCUGAACUCUGAAUCCAGUGAUCCGAGUUCAAUUUCGGUAGGACUU
Molecule: transfer RNA, 71 nt
Filed under: Danionella translucida
Lineage: Eukaryota; Metazoa; Chordata; Actinopteri; Cypriniformes; Danionidae
Also listed under: 1 other name
Rfam family: tRNA
About the family: Transfer RNA (tRNA) molecules are approximately 80 nucleotides in length. Their secondary structure includes four short double-helical elements and three loops (D, anti-codon, and T loops).
Source: Rfam by way of RNAcentral